Molecule: transfer RNA, 62 nt
Filed under: Dorcus hansi
Lineage: Eukaryota; Metazoa; Arthropoda; Insecta; Coleoptera; Lucanidae
Description: tRNA-His
Source: RNAcentral
AUUUGAGUAGUUUAGAAAAAAUAUUGAUCUGUGGAGUCAAAGAUGUAGUAAUAUCUCAAAUA